GUAGGUGGCAAGCGUUGUCCGGAAUUAUUGGGCGUAAAGCGCGCGCAGGCGGUCCUUUAAGUCUGAUGUGAAAGCCCACGGCUCAACCGUGGAGGGUCAUCGGAAACUGGGGGGACUUGAGUACAGAAGAGGAAAGCGGAAUUCCAAGUGUAGCGGUGAAAUGCGUAGAGAUUUGGAGGAACACCAGUGGCGAAGGCGGCUUCUGGUCUGUAACUGACGCUGAGGCGCGAAAGCGUGGGGAGCAAACAGGGAUUAGAUACCCUGGUAGUCCACGCCGUAAACGAUGAGUGCUAAGUGUUAGGGGUUUCCCGCCCCUUAGUGCUGCAGCUAACGCAUUAAGCACUCCGCUGGGGAUACGGCCGCAAGGCUG
RNAcentral lists this ribosomal RNA (370 nucleotides) under uncultured organism. Its description in RNAcentral is "partial 16S ribosomal RNA". It matches the Rfam family "Bacterial small subunit ribosomal RNA", at positions 527 to 896 of the family's 1533-position model. The record is from RNAcentral.